GACGAACGCUGGCGGCGUGCUUAACACAUGCAAGUCGAACGGUAAGGCCCUUCGGGGUACACGAGUGGCGAACGGGUGAGUAACACGUGGGUGAUCUGCCCUGCACUUCGGGAUAAGCCUGGGAAACUGGGUCUAAUACCGGAUAGGACCACUGCCUGCAUGGGUGGUGGUGGAAAGCUUUUGCGGUGUGGGAUGGGCCCGCGGCCUAUCAGCUUGUUGGUGGGGUGAUGGCCUACCAAGGCGACGACGGGUAGCCGGCCUGAGGGGGUGACCGGCCACACUGGGACCGAGAUACGGCCCAGACUCCUACGGGAGGCAGCAGUGGGGAAUAUUGCACAAUGGGCGCAAGCCUGAUGCAGCGACGCCGCGGGAGGGAUGACGGCCUUCGGGUUGUAAACCUCUUUCAGCACCGACGAAGCGCAAGUGACGGUAGGUGCAGAAGAAGGACCGGCCAACUACGUGCCAGCCGCCGCCGUAA
This 478-nucleotide ribosomal RNA is filed under the name uncultured bacterium. Its description in RNAcentral is "partial 16S ribosomal RNA". It matches the Rfam family "Bacterial small subunit ribosomal RNA", at positions 28 to 523 of the family's 1533-position model. The record is from RNAcentral.